CGCGGCGAGGCCUCCUUCCCCUCGUCCCAGCCGUAGGAGGACACACAGUUCAAGUCUUCAUGGCAAGUUUUUGCUGCACUGCACUGUGAGGCUGUUUGCUGCAUCUGCUAUUUUCUUCAAGUCUAAUCUCAUUGCUGUUAUAAAGGAAGAUGCCUGCUACGACCGUGUUCGUAGUCUCGUUGAUCAGCUCCGGCCAUGGCUCCGAUUCUUAGUGAGGAAGCCAGUACGAAGUAUAUCACUUUGCUUUUGUUAAUGCACUGAGCCGCUGUGCCAUUUCCGGGCCGCCGUGCCUUCAGAUUCGGCGCUUCAACGGAAGAACGGGGGGACUCGCCCAUCUACUUCGCCAACUCCGGUAACAUGCGCGAGAGGAUCACCAUGAACGGACCAGUGCCAGGGCAAGACCGGCGUGCAGUACAUCGUCCUCAACAUGGGUGCCAUCAGCAGCAUCGUCAGGUGGGGCAUGCUGGAUGAGCUCAAUAAGACCCUGGACAUGAGGGGCAUUCAGGUAAGGACAGAGCAACACAAACUGUCAUGUUUCUGUAGAAAAUAGAGCAUGCUUUUUGUGAUAUGAACCAUGGUUGAUUCAUUGUUUUGUAAACCUAAACUUUUCCAGCAAACGUGGGAGAAAUUUAUAUCCAGUUAGCACAUGGAAAUCUAUAUUCAGAUGAUAUGGCUACUUCAUA
Long non-coding RNA from Triticum dicoccoides, 683 nucleotides. RefSeq lists it as uncharacterized. Lineage: Eukaryota; Viridiplantae; Streptophyta; Magnoliopsida; Poales; Poaceae. The record is from RefSeq and is a predicted model, not a curated record. The transcript has 3 exons.